AUACUUAAACCUGGCAGGGGAGAUACCAUGAUCACACAGGUAGUGUCCCCACGGUGAGGCUUAUCCAUUGUACUCUGGAUGUGCUUACCCCUGCGAUUUCCCCAAAUGGGGGAAACUCAGCUGCAUACUUUGUGAGGACUGCAUUUGCAUUUUCCCC
Molecule: small nuclear RNA, 157 nt
Organism: Otolemur garnettii (small-eared galago)
Lineage: Eukaryota; Metazoa; Chordata; Mammalia; Primates; Galagidae
Gene: U1
Rfam family: U1 spliceosomal RNA
About the family: U1 is a small nuclear RNA (snRNA) component of the spliceosome (involved in pre-mRNA splicing).
Source: Ensembl